CCGCCUCACCCCUCCUCCCAUCUGACAGACGCCAAACUCUCUCUCAUCGCUACAGAACGUCCUCACCAGGUCAGCCCGUCUUACUGCGGGCUUCACACGCUGCAUCGGGGGAAGCUACUCCAGCUGCUCAGUUCAGAUUCAGGGUGUGAAGCUGGGCGAUGCGGGCCAGUAUCACUUCAGGUUUGAGACAAACCAACCGCUGGGGAGAUGGACCUCACCUGGGGUCUUGUGGUUUUUUCUUUUGUGGUUCACUAUCCAUCCACCAGAGAGCGCCAGAGGCUGCUCCUCCUGGCAGGGCGAGCCGGUCUCCUAGCACCUGUUUCUCAUCUUCUCAUCAUCCCUGCAGCUCAAGAGGAGCUGACUGCCAGUUCUCUGACGCCUGAGUGUUUGCCAGUAAUGGUGAAUUCAUCAAGAUGCCCAAGUUUCCUCCAUGAGAAGUUUUUUUUUUCCUCUGGUUUUCUGGAACCUACAUCCUUGUGAUGCCAUGGAAGUUACCCACUGGUUGUCCGAGCUCCUUCCCUGUUCCUUCAGUUAGACCAAGCCGUUUUCUGGAAACCCUGAUGGGCAGUCGGACCGCUCCUCUGUCUCCAGCCACCAGAAUUUACCUGUCCGCCCUCCAUCGCAGCCUCCUCCGCUCCUUCCAGAUCAGCUCAUCCGAGCCUACUUCAAAGAAGACCCCUCUGUCAGAUCUGAACCCAACCCACAAUGAUCCCCUCCCGGGCCAAAACCGCCAGCUCCACAAUGUGCCGCCUUCUCCGAGAGCCGUUCCAUCAUAUCUGAAUCUUCAAUAAAGUAUCUUUACUGAUUAUCUGUUCUGCAUGUGGGCAAAAAGACUAGAAUCCAACCUGACAGCAUUUCUCUGGAUGUAGCAGCUCGACUCUCCUGUCAAAACAUCAUUGACUCUGCAAGGUUUCUGGUGCCUGGCUGGAGACGAGAUUCUGACGAUUCAAGAAUCAAAACAAAAUAUCAGAGUAAAUAGUUAGAAGGCAGAUUUGUUUUCUCUUCAUUAUUGUUUUCAUUAUUAAUGGUUCAUGACACAAAAUUCCUAAGUGCUGUAACUAUGAGUUCAAUAAAAUGGUCUUCUUUCAA
Gambusia affinis (western mosquitofish) is the source of this 1089-nucleotide long non-coding RNA. RefSeq lists it as uncharacterized. The record is from RefSeq and is a predicted model, not a curated record. The transcript has 5 exons. NCBI's taxonomy places the organism in Eukaryota, Metazoa, Chordata, Actinopteri, Cyprinodontiformes, Poeciliidae.